UAAGUAGAAUGGAUAAUCGCGGCAGAGCCGUAACGCUUUGUCGAGGAAAGUCCGGGCUUCAUAGGGCAGGAUGCCGGAUAACGUCCGGUGGAGGCGACUCCAAGGCUAGUGCAACAGAGAGAUACCGCCGUCAAGCAAUACCGUAAAGGUAGUGACGGUAAGGGUGGAAAGGUGGUGUAAGAGACCACCGUCCCUACGGUAACGUAGGGAGCCAUGUAAACCCCAUUCGAAGCAAGACCAAAGGAGAACGAUAAGCUUGCCCGGCUUGUUCUCAGGUGGGUCGCAAGAGGCGAGCGGCGACGUUCGUCCCAGAUAGAUGAUUAUCCAAGACAGAACCCGGCUUAUAGUUCUGCUUACCAU
This 360-nucleotide RNase P RNA is filed under the name Clostridium sp. Its description in RNAcentral is "RNase P RNA component class A". It matches the Rfam family "Bacterial RNase P class A". Rfam says of the family: Ribonuclease P (RNase P) is a ubiquitous endoribonuclease, found in archaea, bacteria and eukarya as well as chloroplasts and mitochondria. Its best characterised activity is the generation of mature 5'-ends of tRNAs by cleaving the 5'-leader elements of precursor-tRNAs. The record is from RNAcentral. Lineage: Bacteria; Bacillati; Bacillota; Clostridia; Eubacteriales; Clostridiaceae.